GGACUACAGGGGUAUCUAAUCCCUUUCGCUCCCCUGGCUUUCGUCCAUGAGCGUCAGUAAUGGCCCAGCAGAGCGCCUUCGCCACUGGUGUUCUUCCCGAUAUCUACGCAUUUCACCGCUACACCGGGAAUUCCCUCUGCCCCUACCAUACUCAAGCCUUUCAGUUUCCACUGCCAUGAUGGAGUUAAGCUCCACGCUUUAACAGCAGACUUGAAAAGCCGCCUGCGGACGCUUUACGCCCAAUAAUUCCGGAUAACGCUUGCCACUCCCGUAUUACCGCGGCUGCUGGCACGGAAUUAGCCGUGGCUUAUUCCUCAAGUACCGUCAUAUCUUCUUCCUUGAGAAAAGAGGUUUACAGCCCAGAGGCCUUCGUCCCUCACGCGGCGUUGCUCCGUCAGGC
This 400-nucleotide unclassified non-coding RNA is filed under the name uncultured cyanobacterium. Its description in RNAcentral is "contains 16S-23S intergenic spacer region". Lineage: Bacteria; Bacillati; Cyanobacteriota. The record is from RNAcentral.